UGUUUUCAAUUUUAUUUUCUACAACAGAAUCUAUUUCAAGCAAUCAGCUAUAAAAAUCCUGAUCUGGUGAAUCAACACCCCAAUUAUCACAGACAUAGUUAACAGAUAAACAACACAUAAACAUAACAAUAUCUAACAACUUUAAUAAACAGAAGGUGGGCUUUUUGUUGUGUAAUUUUUCUAUGACUGUAUUCCUCUCAAUUUUAUUAGGAUACCAGUCAUAUGUAAAUAAAAAUUCAAAUUAUCUAUCAUAAAAGUGCCACCUUGUGUUUACUUAAGUUGCUACAAUGAAUAAAGAACAGGAAAAAGAUUUUGAUUUUCGAAAAAAAAGUACCUGACUGACAGAGAUUCCUAAUGUUAUAUCUGGUUACAUUAAUUUAACUUAUAAUUCCACUAUCCCUCAAACUGCUGAAAGUCAAAUAGAUAUAAAAGUCUGUUUAAAUGUUUAAAUCAGACAUGGUAAAACUCAACAGAUUAAAUGAAAAGAGAAAGAACUUAUUUAAUCUAGGUAUUAUGCGCUUGCUAAAUUAGUUUAAUUUUUAAAAUAUUGUUUACUUACAAAUGUAUUUCUUGUAAACCUUUUUUUAAUCAAUUAGAAAAAUAUAAAAAAUAAAACAAUUUUAAUUUCUAGAAGAAUUCAUUGGGAAUUAUUUAUGUGUAAUUAAACUAAUACAGUAUGAUAGCACUAAAACAUUUCUAGGAAGAUUUUGGCCUCUACUAUCUGUACUACAUGAAUGCAUGUUAAGAAUAACAAAUCGAAAAAUCUACCAAAAAUUAGCUGACAAAUAUAAAUACUGGAUUGUGUUGAGCAAAGCAAAAAACAUAAAUCUUAUUGUUAUUUGAUUACAAAUAUUGGAUAUCAUAGGUAUUCCAAUAUAAUGUGACAUCACAAGAGAAAACAUUUGAUGUCACAGCAGAAAGUAAACGUUUUUUCUCAUGAGCCACAAUCCCAAAUAGCAAUAGAAUCUAUUUUGUCUCAAGUUCUGUAUGUCAAAAAUAUCUUCACAAAUUGGAUCUUUAAAUUGUUAGUUAAGGUACUUAAGAAUCUCAUUGACACCAAAAGUAAUAGAUUGACUAAGUUGCUUUUUAGGAUGACCUUCGGGACAUUUCACCAAAAACCUGUUACAACAGAUGAAACAUAUCUGUAACAUAUCCAAAUUUCUGAAUAAACUAUGGCCUCCUACAAGUUUAUAGGAACCCUUGAUAUUGUGAUUUAAAAAAAAAUAAGUUGCCUCAUAUACUUCAAUUUUUUUUUUAAUUGGCGAUUCUGAACUUUUCAGGAUAAUUAUGUAAACCUUUGCUGACUUGUUACUAAGGAUAACAAAUCCCAUUCUGUGUAUGAUCAUUUUGACAACAAAACUUGAACAACAUUUUCUAAUUUAAAAACUGGGUACAUAAAAGUAAAAAAUCUAGUCUAUUCUUAAAACAAGGCAGUUGAACUAAAACUGGAUUCUAAUAUAUACACAAAGAGCAUUUAAACUUUAAAAGGAUGAUGGGAAAGUCAUGAAAAUUGUCUAUGUUAAUUAUUGAAAUGUUUUAUUCAUUUAAGUUUGCCAAUUGC
This 1561-nucleotide long non-coding RNA is filed under the name Mytilus galloprovincialis (Mediterranean mussel). The record is from RNAcentral. Lineage: Eukaryota; Metazoa; Mollusca; Bivalvia; Mytilida; Mytilidae.